UGGGGAAUAUUGGACAAUGGGCGCAAGCCUGAUCCAGCCAUGCCGCGUGUGUGAAGAAGGCCUUCGGGUUGUAAAGCACUUUUGUCCGGAAAGAAAUCCUGUCGGUUAAUACCCGGCGGGGAUGACGGUACCGGAAGAAUAAGCACCGGCUAACUUCGUGUCAGCAGCCGCGGUAAUACGAAGGGUGCAAGCGUUACUCGGAAUUACUGGGCGUAAAGCGUGCGUAGGUGGUCUGUUAAGUCUGAUGUGAAAGCCCUGGGCUCAACCUGGGAACUGCAUUGGAUACUGGCAGUCUGGAGUGCGGUAGAGGGUAGCGGAAUUCCCGGCGUAGCAGUGAAAUGCGUAGAUAUCGGGAGGAACAUCCGUGGCGAAGGCGGCUACCUGGACCAGCACUGACACUGAGGCACGAAAGCGUGGGGAGCAAACAGGAUUAGAUACCCUGGUAGUCCACGCCCUAAACGAUGCGAACUGGAUGUUGGGAGCAAUUAGGCUCUCAGUAUCGAGGCUAACGCGUUAAGUUCGCCGCCUGGGAAGUACGGUCGCAAGACUGAAACUCAAAUGAAUUGACGGGGUCAUAGCUGUUUCCU
This 587-nucleotide ribosomal RNA is filed under the name uncultured bacterium. RNAcentral describes it as "partial 16S ribosomal RNA". It matches the Rfam family "Bacterial small subunit ribosomal RNA", at positions 355 to 1375 of the family's 1533-position model. The record is from RNAcentral.